Molecule: transfer RNA, 84 nt
Filed under: Methanomicrobiales archaeon
Lineage: Archaea; Methanobacteriati; Methanobacteriota; Methanomicrobia; Methanomicrobiales
Description: tRNA-Ser
Rfam family: tRNA
About the family: Transfer RNA (tRNA) molecules are approximately 80 nucleotides in length. Their secondary structure includes four short double-helical elements and three loops (D, anti-codon, and T loops).
Source: RNAcentral
GUUGAGGUAGCCAAGCCAGGCAUGGCGCGGGGUUGCUAACCCCGUGUCCCUUGGGACGCGGGGGUUCAAAUCCCUCCCUCAACG